This is an RNA transcript of Triticum aestivum (bread wheat), 3863 nucleotides long. RefSeq lists it as uncharacterized. The record is from RefSeq and is a predicted model, not a curated record. NCBI's taxonomy places the organism in Eukaryota, Viridiplantae, Streptophyta, Magnoliopsida, Poales, Poaceae. The transcript has 5 exons.
UUUUCACCGCGUGAGCCGUUCGAUCGUGUUACUAUCGUAUGAUUUUUGCUGCUGCCGAUCGCUGGACCGUCAAUUCUUUUGCACCUUUGUGCUCGUUUCAAAGGUGGAUGACUGAUGGGCCUCGUUAAGUGUAGGUCCAGAGAAUGAUGUGAACUUGCUCUGGUUUUACGUAGCUGAAUUAUGAGAUGUCCGGGCUGCGCGGUGAAAACCUAAUCCCCAAUCCCAGCCCGUCCUCGAGCCCCACAUUCCCUCCCCUCCCCUUUCGCGUCGUCGCCGCCGCCUUUCCCUGCUCUCCAGUCUCCGCCACCACCACGCCCCUUGCUUCCCCUUCGCUUUUAUCCUCCUCUCGAUCCGGCGCUGGCACACACGGUGGUUAUGGAUGGGCCGUUGGUUGCCUUCAUGGGAGAGUGCGGCCUUUGAGGUCUUCAGCGUGGGUGUGGAGGAGCGGGAAGAGGUGAGGAUGAUGACAACGUGGGAAAAAAGCAGCCAGAUCAAAGCUCCCGUCGCCGCUCACGUUGCCAAGGAGUGGAGGGCCGCAGUUGGCCGCAUCACAGACAAGCGAGGACAAGGACAACGCCUGGAUUCGGCGAUGGCAUCAUCCAUCAUGAGAGGCCUGGGCCUCCUCCACGGACAAGGCGGCGGCGGACAACGCCUGGAUUCGGCGAUGGCAUCAUCCAUCAUGAGAGGCCUGGGCUUCCUCCACGGCCAAGGCGGCGGCGAUCUGAGCACCAGUUCAAGUUUUCUGAAGAAAAGCUUCAGGCUUCUGCAGUUUUCAUUCUUCACGGCGCAGAGGUUACAGAGGUCAGAUGAUGUGUGCAAGGAAGGAAAGAUGCAGACAAGCAACGCCGAAGACGUCUUCAAAGCGCUUGAUGAGAUUGAGUUCCCAGAGUUGGUAGAGCCCCUGAGGACUGCAUUGGAUGAAGCAAAGGCAGUCUGGAGCAAAACAGAGGAAACUAGAUACAGAGCCAAUGCUGUAGAGCAAAAUGAUCGAGCAAACGAAGCCAACGCGGAUGACGAUUAACUGCUCUAACCUUGUGGUAAGUUGAAUCUGAGUCACAUUAAUGGGUGAACUUUCUCGUAGUUCUUUUUCCUGGAACUAUAAGACAUGGCUGAAGAUGCCAUUUGGUAAUUUUGUAUGCUGAACCAUGAUGCUAGGCUGAAUAAUUUACUAUCUUUUGUUCGCAUGAGCUCACAUUUUGGUAGUUGCAAAACCUAAACCACGAUGCUUUCUUGCCGCUGUUGUAGUCUCUAAUUAAUGGAAUUGUGAGAGACUGUAGUUAACUUAAGUUUAUUCUGUUUCAUUAAAACAGGCGUUGAUAGCUGCAUAAGUUUAACCAUGAUGCUUUAUUUUUUUAGGGAAAACCAUAAUACUUUCUUGCUGCUGCUGUAGUCUCUAUGCGAUUCUGAGACAAUUUAGUUAAGCUAAUCUCAUCGGUUUGCACUCUCAAAAAUCACAGGAGCCAUACAGAAAAAAGUAGGGUACUAUUAGAAAUUGGCCGUGUGAUUUUCAUAUUCAGAGAAUAACACAUGUGUUGAUUAAACUGAAAAUGUAUGUUGAUGCAUGGAAAAUGUAUAUGGUGCAUUUCAUUUCUGCUCAUCCUGAUCUAACCAAACUGACCCCAUGGAUUUGAGAUUGCCGUGCCUAUCAGGUUUGGACAUGUUCUUAUUUGUACUGCUACUAAAUCACAAAACUAAUAAACUAUAUAAAUAAAAUAGCUCCCCACCUUUCCAACAACUUAUUUUAUUUUUAGAGUGAGCAACGACAUGUUAUCAUACUCCGUUUCUUGUGAGCAGUACGUCAGUUUAGAUUGGCGUAUACUCUUUGGUGCCGUGUCUAUCAGGUUUGGACAUGUUCUUAUUUGCACUAAAUCACAAAACUAAACUGUAUAAAUAAAAUAGCCCCCCUCCUUUCCAACAACUUAUUUUAUUUUUAGAGUGAGCAACGACGUGUUAUCAUACUCUGUUUCUUGUGAGCAGUACGUCAGUUUAGAUUGACGUAUACUCUUUGGUAUAUAGCAUUUUUGCCUACCUCUUACCUAUUUCACAUAGAAUAGAUGAUUUGCUUUGGCGAGGGAUUAGAUAAGGCCUAUGAGUCCUAGGUAAGCGUGAUGAGCAUGUCUUGCACUUUUAUUUACUAUUAAGCACCAACUGAAUUUCUGAUAAUGACGUUUCAGGAAUGACACAAUCAAUCCAACUGUUACCUUUUGGGUGCUUUUUGGAUGGACUAAUCUGAAGAUGUUGGCUAGCUUGCACCGCCAUCAUAUAAUCUAGAAGCAAGGGCAAGGAUUAUAGGGAAAAUAAAGGUACAAUGCUCCCAGUAUAUUUUACUUUUUGGCAAAGUUUUGGUGCUUGCGCAAGAAAGUAACACCAUCAUUAUAGGCUUAUUUUAUUUUAUCUUAGUUCAUGCACUAAUGCAUAAAUCUUUUGGUAUUGCCCUUAUUAUUUAGUCUAGAGCUAUGCAAUGACAACCAUGGCUUUAGUGUUCAGGUGAGUUCCAUUUAUAGAGUGAAGAACCCUUGGCAUCUUAUCUAAAUUCUUUGAUCCUAGAUAUUGUGUAUACCCAGUUAAGUACCUUAUACCAGUACCUUAAUUAGCCUCUUCUGACUAUUGAUUGUUUGAACUGUUGUAGUAGGACUCAGACUUUCAAUGUUAUUAGGCUUGUGGACAUGUUUUUAUUUUAGAUUGUACAGUAUUGGGUUCUUUUGGCUUCUGGUUGCUGCUGCACAAAAAGUACACUAAACUCAGAUGAUGCAUGAAAAAAACUGCAGACCUAACAUAGUUUUUGUAUUCUGAUUUUUUUGUGAUGCCCUUAUGUUAAAAUGCUUAUUUGUUCUCCAAGUAGGCCAACGACGGCUGCUAGCAAUGAUACAUACAUAUCAACAAUUCCAAGGAAGUGCAUAUGUCAGGAUGCAUAGCAUAAUAUAUAUGUUCAUUGGAAAAUACUCUUCAGCAUCUGAAACAUCUAAAGGCGAUCACUCAACUACGUAUUAUAUACAAUAUACCCCGCUCGAUGGUUGGAGCAGUCCCAGCCACUAAUUAGUACUCCAACGUUGCAUCACUCAUCUAAGUAUCAACACUACUCUUGAGACUUGCCUAUUAACAUAGUAGUGCUAGGUCCUCGUUGUUCGUUCUUACUCUCUGUUUUACGAGUCUUUGGUUUCUCUUUAUUCACAUUUCGUUUUCUAUUUUCAUUAUCACUCUGUAUUAAUUCGGUAUCUUGGUUUAUCUUUAUUUAGUCUCCACCCUCUUUCUCCCAUACUCCCUCUGUACGAAAAAGCUUGUCCCUCAAAUGAAUGUAUCUAGCAUCAAAUUAGUGCUAGAUACAUCCAUUUGAGAGACAAGCUUGAGACAAACUUUUUCGAACGGAGGGAGUACCUCUUUUUUCAUUUGUAUGUCUAAGGUAAGAAUGAGAGGCUAGAUAAACAAACAGGAAAAUGCUCACUUCAUUCAGGGGAUGCAUUCCGUCAUUGUCCAUCAACAAGUUCAACUCCGACGUUGGUUCACCGAUGUGGGCCGAUGCACCACAUCAGCAACGUCAAUGACGAAACCAUGAGGAUGUAAUCAAUAAUGUUGCUUCUGAAAAUGAAGAUGUACUUUGCCAUGCCACUACUCUCGGCAAAAUAGUAGAUCAUGGUGCCCCUUGUGCUACAGUGGAAUUGAAUCACAACAAUUCUACAGAUUCAUCAAACACCGAAGGAGGUUAGUUUUUACCUGAGCAGCAACGGCGACCGCCGUGGGUUUGCUGGAGCCUCCCUUGCCGUGGAAAGUAACUAGCUUCAGGGAGUGCCAGGCUGCCACACAGCCAGAACAAAUGCCACCUUCGGCAGGGAGCGACAACAACAACUAUGAGGAUUUGGCUCGCC